UACAGAGGUCCCAAGCGUUGUUCGGAUUCACUGGGCGUAAAGGGUGCGUAGGUGGUGAGGGAAGUUGGGUGUGAAAGCUCGGGGCUUAACCCCGAAACGGCAUUCAAAACUCCUUUGCUCGAGGGUCGGAAGGGAGACUGGAAUUCUCGGUGUAGCGGUGAAAUGCGUAGAUAUCGAGAGGAACACCAGUGGCGAAAGCGAGUCUCUGGACGACUCCUGACACUGAGGCACGAAAGCUAGGGGAGCAAACAGG
This 253-nucleotide ribosomal RNA is filed under the name uncultured bacterium. RNAcentral's name for it is "partial 16S ribosomal RNA". It matches the Rfam family "Bacterial small subunit ribosomal RNA", at positions 524 to 776 of the family's 1533-position model. The record is from RNAcentral.